This 815-nucleotide ribosomal RNA is filed under the name uncultured marine eukaryote. RNAcentral describes it as "SSU rRNA". It matches the Rfam family "Eukaryotic small subunit ribosomal RNA", at positions 64 to 870 of the family's 1831-position model. The record is from RNAcentral.
UAUAAACAACUUUAUACUGUAAAACUGCGAACGGCUCAUUAUAUCAGCAAUAAUUUAUUUGAUGGUUCCUUACUACAUGGAUAACUGUAGUAAUUCUAGAGCUAAUACAUGCGUAAAGUCCCGACUCUCGCGGGGAGGGAUGUAUUUAUUAGAUAAAAAACCAAUGCGGGUUCUGCCCGGUUUUGUGGUGAAUCAUAGUAACUUUUCGAAUCGCAUGACUUCACGUCGGCGAUAGUUCAUUCAAAUUUCUGCCCUAUCAGCUUUCGACGGUAGUGUAGUGGACUACCGUGGCAUUAACGGGUAACGGAGAAUUAGGGUUCGAUUCCGGAGAGGGAGCCUGAGAAACGGCUACCACAUCCAAGGAAGGCAGCAGGCGCGCAAAUUACCCAAUUCUGACACAGAGAGGUAGUGACAAAAAAUAACAAUACCUGGCCUUUUUAGGUCGGGUAAUUGGAAUGAGUACAAUUUAAAUCCCUUAACGAGGGUCCAUUGGAGGGCAAGUCUGGUGCCAGCAGCCGCGGUAAUUCCAGCUCCAAGAGCGUAUAUUAAAGUUGUUGCAGUUAAAAAGCUCGUAGUUGGAUUUCUGGUAUAAUGCGCCUGGCCCGCGGCGGUUACGCCUGUGAGUGCCGGUGCGCGUUUGCCAUCCUUCUAGAAAACGUUUCUACCCUUCACUGGGCCGGACUCGCGAUCUAGAUCUUUUACUUUGAAAAAAUUAGAGUGUUUAAGGCAGGCUUUUGCUGUGAAUACAUUAGCAUGGAAUAAUAAUCUAGGACUUCGGUUCUAUUUUGUUGGUUUCUAGUACUGAAGUAAUGAUU